CUGCAUUCUUAAACCCUCCUGGCAGCUCUGUUGUUGGCUUCCAGGAUAAGAAUGAAUGCCAGAUAAAACUGUUGAUUAAUCCAAAAUGUAGAGCUCUUCUCCCAUGGCUCUUCAUUAUUUCACAUCUUCAACAUUU
This is a non-coding RNA of Chlamydotis undulata (Houbara bustard), 136 nucleotides long. The record is from Rfam. NCBI's taxonomy places the organism in Eukaryota, Metazoa, Chordata, Aves, Otidiformes, Otididae.